Long non-coding RNA from Xenopus laevis (African clawed frog), 3173 nucleotides. RefSeq lists it as uncharacterized. The record is from RefSeq and is a predicted model, not a curated record. NCBI's taxonomy places the organism in Eukaryota, Metazoa, Chordata, Amphibia, Anura, Pipidae. The transcript is spliced from 4 exons.
UUUUUGGGGAGAAAUAAGAGACUGUUAGAAGGAGCAAAUAAAUGGCAAUGCAUAAACUACAGAUCCCAUAAUGCACUGUGAGGUCUGUACCCACUAUAAGGCUAUUACUGGAAGUGAGGGAGCCUGACUGCUGUUGCGUGUGCUAUUUAGCUGACAAAAAUGUUGGACAACCAGGCUGUAGACUUUUAUCACUGGCAUGUGGAAAGGGCCUUGAUCUCCCAUGAUGCACUAUAAGGGUUGACCAUAAGAGGUAGGUAGCGUUUGUAUUGCUUAUAAUGUCAUGAUGAGGGCUGGCUUGUAACAGGACUACAGAUCCCAUCAUGCUCUAUCAUUCCUUGGUUAUAUCAAUACAGGGGUCAUAUUCUAUUGAAUCCAUUUCCCCCUGCAUGUACCCAGUGUGGCUGCUUCCCAUAACCAGCUCUGCUCUGAUCAGUGCCCCCUGCACCCAUAAUGCCAGGAAUCCUAAGGGCAGACAUUUAUUCUUCUGAUUUGUGCUACUUGUCUUUCUACUUAAGCCUCUCUGAACCGUCCCCCCACUCUAGUGCUGAGGCCACUGACUGUCGCUACGAUGAGUGUGACCGUUGGCAAAUGACCGUUGGCAAAUGACAGUUGGAAAAUGACCGUUGGCAUUUACAGCAGAGGCAGAGAAAAUUGUCUAAUGGUUCAGAAAAAAACAAUAAAAACAAGUAAACCAAACACCCGUUGCCUUAGAACUAGAAGUUUUUCUGCUCUCACUCCCAUUAGAGAGGCAGAUGGGGAGAUUUUAGGCACUUUGACACCCACAUGUGUUAGUAGAUUGGGGGGCAGGGCUGCCAUCAGAAGCCCAUUUUCAGCUGAUUCCCUGUAUAAGUGUAAUAUGUAGGUGUCUGUAUCCAAAUAAAAAGACAAGUCAGUAUUAAUGGAAUAUAUGUUCAGUGCCUCUCAACAGGCUGCAGUCCCAGUGUACAAUUACAGACAUGUCACAUGUAAAUAAAGUAAUAGCCAGAGAGCACAAUGGAUCUUAUACCAUCAUAGUGUAUUUAUUGCAGGAAAGUCAUGCCAAGUUGCCUUAAAUGACUCCCCCCUUUCCUGCUUGUCACACACAUGUCAUUUGGAACAGUUUCAUGACAAGCAGCUCCCCAAGCAAUUAGAGUGCUAGGCAAUGGGACAAUUUUGGCAGCGAUGGCCCCACUACCCAAGCUGCUAUAAAUGAUGGGUGACAAAACACCCGAAAUUGCCCUUUAUAUCAUCUAAAUAUGCCCCCCUGCUCCCCAUAAAUGGAUCUGCUGCACUUACCUCUGAGUCCAGAAAUGAAAUAACGGUCAUCUGUACCUGAGCCGUUACAUCACCUUCCUUGCAGCUUUCAGCCAAUCAGAGCUGAGCUGGGAGUGAUGUCACGGAGAUAAGGCAUGAUAUCCCAGUAACUGACAGCCAAUCACAUGCUCAAGUACAGAUCAAACUUGCACAGUCUAAAACAACACUAAUAAAGUCCAAACAUAAGCAGCUUUAGAAGCAGCGCCCCCAUCAGAUCUCCUGGGACCCCUGACUGGACUCCCCCUGUCCCCAUUUAGAUCUGUGUCUGUCACUGAACUACAGCUCAGCUACUAGUUAUCACAGGGACUGCUGGGUAGUUUAGCAAUGGCUAGAGACAUACACAGAUCAGUGAGACAGUGAUGGGGGCAACCACUGAGGGGGUACAGGGGGUUCUGCAUUCAGCGUAGCAAGUGUAACUUUAGUACCAAAUGUCACAUAUAGAACAAAAAGUUUGAUCCUGUUGUGCCACAUAUUCCUGUAUGUUUCACUAGCAGGGAGGAUGCUGGGAGUUGUAUGCCCCAGUAUCUAAAAUAACAUCUUUUCUAUCGCUGCCGGCCCAGUCCGACCCUGUAUGUUGUUGAUCCACAUCUUGGCUUUUGGGCUGGAAGCUGUAGCCCUGAUCCAAUGGACUGUUAAUUGCCUAUGACAAAACUUCAAUAACCCUCAAACUGACUUUUAUACAAAGGGAAGUAUUCUUAGAGACUGUGGAAUUAUGGGAGAUAAGCAUAUGAGCUCACACUCUGGUUUGCUUCCCCUUUAUCCAUAGCUAAGCAUGGUGUAACUCCCAUUUUCUCCACAGAUGAAGGAGUAUCACAGAAGGCGACCACUCCAGCACCAACGGGAGGAAAGAAAAAGUCAAGAGAAUCCUGGAAUAUCUGGAGAAGGAAAUAUUUACUAACAACCUCACUGCCCAGUUCAACACUACCAGCCGCCGACUGAUUGGCCCUCACCCCAGUGUUACCUCCUGUCUCCUCCAUUCAGACGUCGGUGAUGCACAGACCUGGGACUUGUCUUCACUUUUCUGGAUGAAGGAGUAUCACAGAAGGCGACCACUCCAGCACCAACGGGAGGAAAGAAAAAGUCCAGAGAAUCAUUUUCCGUGGACAAUGAAAAACAAAAAUCUGGGUGAAUCUGGGAUACAUUUUCCUGGAGAAAUGAUGAGGAUAUUAGAAGUCACUGAGGGGUUGUUCUGUGACCAUAUAAAGGCACAAGGCUGCAGGCUGAGUUAUACAGGGAACUCUGGGAGGCCGAGACGCGUUUAGCGUUGAAUCUGGUAUGGGAAGGUCGGCAGCCAAUCAGGGAGUGGAUCCGGUGGCAUCGUUGACUCCUCCCCCCUUUGCUCUCGAUUGGCUUUUGAUCUGUAUAUAAGUGCGGCUUGGCUCAUUAUCUCCUGCGGCAGCAACCGCGGGAGGUGGAAGAAGAGCUCCCGUCCCACCCACCCUAAUAUUUUGGUUAUGUUACUUUUAUUUGUUAAAAAGAAAUAAAUGAAUAAAUAAAUAUAUUUAUAUAACUGUCGCAGUGACUUAAGUGUAAGUGGAGGAAUAAGUGAAGCUCUGGGGCCUGGGGGUAAAGGCAGAGCUUUGGUGUACAUAAUGGCCACCGACUGGGUUGUUACCAGAGGUGGGCCUGGUCUUUGUUCAUGUAUUGGUUUAUACAGCUUAAAUUGGGCUGCUCGUGUCUAUGUGGCAGCAUUCUGUAAUAAAGUCCCUGAGGCCUGUUUUUCUCCAUUGAAGUUUCUAGUGUAUGUGGUCUUUAUUGCGAUAUUGAGUUUCAAUGCAUGUACGGUCUACCUUCCCAUGAGUAUGACUCAUGUAUUAUAAGGGAUAAUGUACCCCCCACUGUAAAUGAUAAGGAUAUUAGAAGUCACUGAGGGGUUGUUC